RNAcentral lists this ribosomal RNA (253 nucleotides) under uncultured bacterium. RNAcentral describes it as "partial 16S ribosomal RNA". It matches the Rfam family "Bacterial small subunit ribosomal RNA", at positions 524 to 776 of the family's 1533-position model. The record is from RNAcentral.
UACGAAGGGAACUAGCGGUGUUCGGCAUUACUGGGCGUAAAGCGCACGUAGGCGGACUCUUAAGUCAGGGGUGAAAUCCCGGGGCUCAACCUUGGAACUGCCUUUGAUACUGUGAGUCUCGAGACCGGAAGAGGUGAGUGGAAUUCCUAGUGUAGAGGUGAAAUUCGUAGAUAUUAGGAAGAACACCAGUGGCGACGGCGGCUCACUGGUCCGGUUCUGACGCUGAGGUGCGAAAGUGUGGGGAGCAAACAGG